AUUGAACGCUGGCGGCAUGCCUUACACAUGCAAGUCGAACGGCAGCACGGGAGCAAUCCUGGUGGCGAGUGGCGAACGGGUGAGUAAUGUAUCGGAACGUGCCCAGUCGUGGGGGAUAAUGUAGUGAAAAUUACGCUAAUACCGCAUACGAUCUAUGGAUGAAAGCGGGGGAUCGCAAGACCUCGCGCGAUUGGAGCGGCCGAUAUCAGAUUAGGUAGUUGGUGGGGUAAAGGCCCACCAAGCCAACGAUCUGUAGCUGGGCUGAGAGGACGACCAGCCACACCGGAACUGAGACGCGGUCCAGACUCCUACGGGAGGCAGCAGUGGGGAAUUUUGGACAAUGGGCGAAAGCCUGAUCCAGCCAUUCCGCGUGCAGGAUGAAGGCCCUCGGGUUGUAAACUGCUUUUGUACAGAACGAAAAGGUUUCUACUAAUACUAGGAGCUCAUGACGGUACCGUAAGAAUAAGCACCGGCUAACUACGUGCCAGCAGCCGCAGUAA
Molecule: ribosomal RNA, 500 nt
Filed under: uncultured bacterium
Lineage: Bacteria
Description: partial 16S ribosomal RNA
Rfam family: Bacterial small subunit ribosomal RNA
Source: RNAcentral